RNAcentral lists this transfer RNA (106 nucleotides) under candidate division MSBL1 archaeon SCGC-AAA259E17. Its description in RNAcentral is "candidate divison MSBL1 archaeon SCGC-AAA259E17 tRNA". It matches the Rfam family "tRNA". From Rfam's summary of the family: Transfer RNA (tRNA) molecules are approximately 80 nucleotides in length. Their secondary structure includes four short double-helical elements and three loops (D, anti-codon, and T loops). Further hydrogen bonds mediate the characteristic L-shaped molecular structure. tRNAs have two regions of fundamental functional importance: the anti-codon, which is responsible for specific mRNA codon recognition, and the 3' end, to which the tRNAs corresponding amino acid is attached (by aminoacyl-tRNA synthetases). tRNAs cope with the degeneracy of the genetic code in two manners: having more than one tRNA (with a specific anti-codon) for a particular amino acid; and 'wobble' base-pairing, i.e. permitting non-standard base-pairing at the 3rd anti-codon position. The record is from Rfam by way of RNAcentral. Lineage: Archaea; Methanobacteriati; Methanobacteriota.
GGGCCCGUAGCUUAGUGGUAGAGCGCUCGACCGAUAAAAUCGGGGCGAAGCUGAUAGCCACUGGGCAGAUACCGGGAGGUCGUGGGUUCGAUACCCACCGGGCCCA